This 500-nucleotide ribosomal RNA is filed under the name uncultured bacterium. RNAcentral describes it as "partial 16S ribosomal RNA". It matches the Rfam family "Bacterial small subunit ribosomal RNA", at positions 30 to 523 of the family's 1533-position model. The record is from RNAcentral.
AUUGAACGCUGGCGGCAUGCCUUACACAUGCAAGUCGAACGGCAGCACGGGAGCAAUCCUGGUGGCGAGUGGCGAACGGGUGAGUAAUAUAUCGGAACGUGCCUAGUAGUGGGGGACAACCAGUCGAAAGAUUGGCUAAUACCGCAUACGCACUCUGGUGGAAAGUGGGGGAUCGCAAGACCCCACGCUAUUAGAGAGGCCGAAAUCAGAUUAGGUAGUUGGUGGGGUAAAAGCCUACCAAGCCAACGAUCUGUAGCUGGGCUGAGAGGACGACCAGCCACACUGGGACUGAGACACGGCCCAGACUCCUACGGGAGGCAGCAGUGGGGAAUUUUGGACAAUGGGCGCAAGCCUGAUCCAGCCAUGCCGCGUGUGGAAAGAAGGCCUUCGGGUUGUAAACCACUUUUGUCAGGGAAGAAACGGCUUUGGUUAAUACCUGGAGCUAAUGACGGUACCUGAAGAAUAAGCACCGGCUAACUACGUGCCAGCCGCCGCAGUAA